This 259-nucleotide long non-coding RNA is filed under the name Trifolium pratense (red clover). RNAcentral's name for it is "long non-coding RNA (TPRA_LNC009537)". The record is from RNAcentral. Lineage: Eukaryota; Viridiplantae; Streptophyta; Magnoliopsida; Fabales; Fabaceae.
AUUCAUGAAGACGAGGCAAAUGACACUAAUGAGUAAUGAUAUAUGGUAAAACAAACACGAUAAGGAGAAUGAGUGUGUUGAAGACCAUAUUUCCAUUGCUUCUCAUCAGGAUGACCAGGAUAAUCAGGAAAAUCGAGACGAUCAUUGGAAGAAGCAAAUAAGAUUGGCACGAAGCGAUGGGAACUAUAACAUCUGUUUCAAGGGUCCUCCACCUCCAUAUUCUCUCAAUGAAUCUUCUUUAAUGGAAUAUAAGAGGAAU